AGAAAUUGGUUUUUAGAAGCCACGGCCUUGGUGUUGUAUAAUUUUCUUAGUAUUUUGAAUUUUUCUAUUGUGUAACAACCUAUAAUCUUGAUUUUGGAUUUACUAGAUUUUUUUUCUCGAAGGAAAUCAAAUUAAAGUGUCUGUUAUAAAUUUAUGAAUGGAACUAGUUUCUUAAAGCUAAAUAAGUAGUAAAUAUUUGUUAUGUAUUUGAACUAUGUUCUUAAAUAGAUAUAUGGUGAAGUACUCUACAUGGUUUAUUCAUAUCGAAUUAUAUAUAUAGGAGCAUUUGUCUAAAUAAAAUAAAUAAAUAAAAUUAUGUGUUGCAUUCAUGCUCGAGAUUUUGAUUUGUACAUUUAAUUUGAAGCUAAAACUUGAACUCGAAUUGAAAUUUAGAAUAUGUGAAUCAAACUAGAAAACUAAAAUAGAAAAUGAAAAUGAAAAGAAAAAGGAACAAACGUUAUUUGGGCCUAAUCCCACAAUUCUGGCCCAAAUUCGCCCACGAUCAAACCCAAUCUGCGUGCCUGUGCUGCGCCUGGGCGCCGACAGGUGGGCCCUUUUGGGCAGUCUCUGAUGGCGCACGGUCUCACUGCCCGCGGGUCCCAUUGUCAUCCAGCCAAUCUCACCCACUGCCUGUCCCCUCUGCCGUGUGGACCCAACCUGUCAUAUCUCCCUUCCCCUCCCCAGGAACAAAUCCACCGAAGUCUUCGUGUGGCUGUUGCGCCGCCGCGUUCCCUCCCGCGCGGGCAGCCUCAGCCACACUCAUCUGCGCGCCAACCGCUCCUUGCGCCGCGCGAUUCCUGGGAGCUUGGCGCCCGUACCGCUCGUCCGUAUGUCAUGUGGGCCCCAGAUGACAGUCAUUUCUUCCCCAACGAAUCAUCCCAACGGACGCAAUCCCGCCAGCCUCGGUCGCCGCAAAUUCCGGGUUCCUCAGCCAUGGAUUCUGCUGGUUGAGGUCCCGAGCACCCUCCUGGUGAUCCGGUGGUGAUCUUGGGACUCUUGUGAACAACCGAGCGAUUGCGCGGAACAAAAUAGCGGUGGCGGCGGAUUCCUCUCCCAUGCCGUUGCCGCGCCACUCCUCCACGGAAAUCGGGCGGGCGUAACAACUUUCCUCCCCUUCGGAAUCCGCUUUCCUCGGCUUCGGGGUAUAAAUCCGGGACACCUCGCUCGCCCAUCAGCCACCAAACACCGUGAAGCCCUCACCAUGGUAGCACCCGAGGGACAGAGAGAUGAGAGAGGUACCGCCGUGGUGGAUUUGAAGCCUACGGCGAUGUCGAGUAGUCAGAACCGGGCCGGGAGCUUCUCCGGGGCGCUUGAGUACUUGGGCGACCACCAAUUUGGCGUGGGUGGCCACAAGCUUUCGGUGAAUUGCUCGCCAACGCCUGCUAGCACUGCAAUGCCGCCCUCCGCCGUGGAUAGAACUUCUGCUCACGUAACGCGUGGUAAGUGCCAUCUCAUCCCGUGCGCCAUCAUUUCCUCUGCGCGUAGAUCGCUUCCGGUGGGCCUUGGAGCUCUGGCGCGCCGGUUGCAAGUGCUCCGGCGAGGUCCACCGCCGCGCAGAGAGCUCUGCUCGCCGUAGCUCACCGACGGGAAGGAGACAGACUUAUGGUCGUAGGAUCUAUCGAGGGGCGUUCUAGAUUGAUUGUGGCUAGAUCGAUCCGGACUAUUGAAGCGUCAACGCACGGAUAGGAUUAGGGCGCGCAUACCCCUUCGCGCGAUCGGAUCUGGACCUCUAGAUUUUGAUCGGAUGGCUUAGAAUAGAACGGGUGUUCGGUCGAGGCAAGCUUAUAAAAGAGUCCCUGUGAUUUUCAAUUAUUGAUCCCGCCAUCCCUGCACAGUUUAGAACAGUUACAGAUAAGUCCCUGUGAAUUACAAUCAUACCCCUGGAGCCCUAUUUAAGUGCAGAAUAAAUAUUAAAAAUAACCUAAAACUUGUUUAACCCAUAACUUUUACGUCUUAACUCCGAAUUGACUCGUUCCAGUUGCGUUAGCUUCGUAUAAACAUUUACUUCGCAGUAACAACAUUAAUUUUACCACGUCGCAUGCUUUUAUUGUUAGAUAAUUAUUAUUCCUAUGUCUACUAGAUCAACCCUUCUAGAAGCAAAGCUAACCGGUCCAUGAUUAUAAUUUGAUUAGAAUAUAGUCUCUAGUCAUGUUAUAAUUAAAAUUAAAGUUGAGUUAAUUACUUAUAGAAUACUCUCUCAUAUGAUGUAUACUAACCAAUUUGUAAUAUAGUUUAAUAUUUAAAUCACGUGGAUCUUCGGAAAACCAUAACUUCAUAACCGUAAACCCGAAUCUAGCAAUUCUCGUUCCCACGAUCUUGUAGCAAUGCGUAGAUUAUUAUCAUACAGUUUAUCCUUAUGUUUGGUGUGAUGUUAAUUUUGCCUAUACCAUGUCUGUUUGUAUUGCUACGACUAGCAGUGAGGUUACGAGGAUCUGAAGUUCAUCCUAUCACCUGAAAUCUCAAGUGCCAGGCAAGUUGUGCCCUUGAUCACUUCUUUUUACCCAGCCAUGUUCUGAUUAAUCAUAAUGAUCUGCAUAGGUUAAUUUUGAUGGGACCCAAUAGGUUACCCUAGUUUGAUUAUCUUUAUACCUUGUUACCACUGAACUUUUUGGGUAGUACUUGCUAGUGCUUUAUGUGGUUUUGGGUAUGAAGAUACAUUACUCAUGAUUAUACUUUUGUUAUCCGUUGUUAUUUAUCGUUCAUGAUAAGAUCAUUAUGUUAAUUGGAACAUGGAGCGACCACCCGGGAAAACAGUGCUACCACAAGGGUAUAAUGGGACGCCCUUGGCUGAUUAAUUAGGAAAGCUAGUGGAGGACUACCUUACCCGAAAGGGGCAAGGGCAGUAGGGGAGUGGUCAGUGUAGGGAGGCCCUCGGGAUGAUUUUGCUGCGAUGGCGGUCAUGCAAGGGAUUCCUGCAUUGGAGCUUCCUAUAAACUGUAGCGGGUUUUCUGAAGCUAGUGGAACUUUGUAAAGGCCUCGUAGUGUUACCCUGCCUCGCCUCCUCGGUAGAGGUGUAUGGGAAGUCGCGAUCCCUUGGCAGAUGGGUAACAUGACUUGUGGAUAAAGAUGUGCAACCUCUGCAGAGUGUAAAACUGGUAUACUAGCCGUGCUCACGGUCAUGAGCAGCUCGGACCCUCACAUGAUUAACUUAUGGAACUAAAUUCAAUUUGUCAUAUGCAUUGCAUCGCAGGUGAUGUUGUUACUUUUGUUCUACUACUUAAUUGGGUUGGUAUUUACUUAUACUUAGUAAUUGCUAAUAAAAUUUUGACCAACUUUAAAAGCAAUGCUCAGCUCUAACCAUCCUCUUUGGUAAGCCUUACACUUCACGUGAGCUCCCACCUUUGGUGAGUUCAUGCACAUUAUUCCCCACAACUUAUUGAGCGAUGAACGUAUGUGAGCUCACUCUUGCUGUCUCACACCCCCCACAGGUCAAGAACAGGUACCACAGGAUGAGGCGCUUGGAGGAUGCUGCGAUGUGUUCGUGAGAGGUCUAGGUCGUCGUCUCCGAGUCAACUUUGGGUUGCUGGACCGUUGUCUCCUUAUAAUGUAAAUAUUUAUUUAUUUUGUACAAAACUCCGAUUAUAUAGUAAAGAUGUGACAUUCGAUCCUGUGCCAUGAUUCAUCAUAUGUGUGAGACUUGGUCCCAGCACACCUGGUGAUUAUGUUCGCGCCCGGGUCUUGGUGCCCCCGAAACCCGGGUGUGACAUAUUGCCUUUUCAUUUUCUGGUUUUCCAAAUUUGUGAAAAUAUAAUGAAGAGAUGUUUUAUGGUUGUUUUAGGUUAGACAGAGAGAAAAGUAUGUUUUACAAGUAAAUAAUUUAUUUUUUUCACAACACAGAGCUAGCUUAUAUUAGAGUAGCUUUCCCGUAGGUCACGGUUAAACCAAACAGGCCCAUUACUGCAACCUAGAGCCUUAAAAAUAUA
RNAcentral lists this long non-coding RNA (3923 nucleotides) under Zea mays. Its description in RNAcentral is "long non-coding RNA (ZMAY_LNC001795)". Lineage: Eukaryota; Viridiplantae; Streptophyta; Magnoliopsida; Poales; Poaceae. The record is from RNAcentral.